UCCGAUCACUUGAUGUAAUCCCCCGUAAUUUUAUAAAUUUUAUUAAUAUAUUUUAAUGUAUAGUUAAUUAUAUUUAAAUAGAAUUUACGAGUUUUAUUAAUAAAUAUAUAAUUAACGUAUAUUUAUUUUAUUACAUUUUAAAUAUUUUUAACGAUUUAUGAAAUCAAAAGUAAUUUUAUAAUUUUACGUUGAAAAGAAAUCGAAUUACGAAAACACGAUUGAAUUUAGAAAACAAUCCUAUUCGGUUUGACUCAAACACUAAAACCCAAAUCCUAGUUCAAGCCCAUUUUUGCAAAGCCCAAACAAUAAACCCCAUACUCCCUUCUCUAACUCUAAUUCACGUAAAACAAAAAUAAAAAAAAUAAACAAAGCCAAAACCCCAUUUGAACUUCACGUGAAAACGCAAAAGAGAAAAAAAAAAGAAACAAAACCUAUCUCUCAUUCAAACUCACGUAAACUAGCAAACCCUCAAACCUUGGUACUCUCUGCCCAGCCGCCAGCCACCAUACACCCGCCGGACCUCCACCGUCCUCGUCACAGCCGCCCCAGCCGCCGACCACCUACCGCCGCCGCGACCGCCAGCUGCACGGUAACCUUCUUCUUCUCCUUCGUUCUUCUUCCUUUCUCUUUCGUUCGUUUCUUGCAGCUUCGCUACCCUUCUCACGAUCUUUUUCGCUCUUGCUCUCCUCGCUCGUUUUGGUUUUUGCGCAGCAGCAACCGAGUCGCGCCACCCUCUCCUUGCUGUCGCCGAGCAGUGCUGCCGCCUCCGGCCGCGCCUCACCGCCUGCCACCGUCGUCCUCUCUCGUCGGCGGAGAAUUCUCCUUAGGCGACUUUUGAAUUAUUAAAGUGGUCUUGCAGUUUGUUUACACAAGGUACGUACAUACCUGUGUGCUUGGAAUGUGUGCUAAUUGUUGAAACCAUGUUGAAUUUGUU
Long non-coding RNA from Spinacia oleracea (spinach), 934 nucleotides. RefSeq lists it as uncharacterized. The record is from RefSeq and is a predicted model, not a curated record. The transcript is spliced from 3 exons. NCBI's taxonomy places the organism in Eukaryota, Viridiplantae, Streptophyta, Magnoliopsida, Caryophyllales, Amaranthaceae.